GGAUGAAGUGCUUCGGUAUGUAAACUGCUUUUGUAGACUAGAAAGUAAUUGAUCAGUCUAAGAAUAAGGAGUUGCUAAACUCGUGCCAGCAGCAGCGGUAAUACGAGUGCUCCAAGCGUUAUCCGGAAUUAUUGGGCGUAAAGGGUGUGUAGGCGGUAGUGUUAGUCUUUUGUUAAAUUCUUCGGCUUAACCGGGGGCAUGCGAAAGAAACGGCACAACUAGAGGAUGCGAGAGGUGAAUGGAACUCAUGGAGUAGGGGUGAAAUCCGUUGAUAUCAUGGGGAACACCAAAUGCGAAGGCAGUUCACUGGCGCACUCCUGACGCUGAAACACGAAAGCGUAGGUAGCGAAUGGGAUUAGAUACCCCCGUAGUCC
RNAcentral lists this ribosomal RNA (374 nucleotides) under uncultured bacterium. RNAcentral's name for it is "bacterial SSU rRNA". It matches the Rfam family "Bacterial small subunit ribosomal RNA", at positions 406 to 796 of the family's 1533-position model. The record is from RNAcentral.